CACAAACUUCUUCAGCGUGAGUCCUUCCUGUGGGCUACUAUUGUUGAUGAGCUCUUCCAGUGUGGGUUCCUUCCACCGGGUAAAGUCUCCAGAAACAGCACGGUGCACAAGCUACAGAAGCAAAAUGCAAUAAAAGAGGGUUGAUCACUGAGGAAGUGUUUCAAACUGUGCUGUUCUCCCUGCUGUAUCAAAGAUUCAGUGGGCAAACCCCCAGCACUGUUCAUCAUAUCCAAAAAGAGUGGGCUGUGAUAUUGAGAAGACCACACUAAGAAUAGCAUGCCAAAGUGUCUUGCAAGACAGCAGUGAUGUUGGACACUUCACUCUUAGGAAAAACAAUCAAAGGGCAUCACUUUCUGCAAGGACUGAAACAUAACAACAGCAUUAGAAUAUAUUCUGUCAAAUGUAUUGAACAAAAGGUUAUGAUGAGCCUAUGGCAAAUAGACUCCAGUGGAGCACUGAAGCAAAAACGAGGAGAAAGGGAUUCUUUGUUUUCCUUGCAGCGCGAUAUCACAGUAUCACAGAAUGUUUUGGGUCAGAAAGGGUCUUAGUAAAGACCAUCUAACUUCAGCCUCUCUACAGUGGACAGAGACAACUUGCAUUAGACCGUGCUGCUCAGAGCACCAUCCAGCCUGGCCUUGAACACUUCCAGCGAUGGGACAUCCACAGUUUUCUCUGGGCAACCUGUUCCAGUGCCUCGCCACCCCCACAGGUGUUGUGGUGCAUUUUUGUUCAUUAUAUUUGAUUCAAUUACCUUCUGUAUUGUUAAGUUGUACCCCAUCCAUGUGCCCUCCUACCCCAGUUACCAAUCCACCCUGAUACCUACUCUCUCUUCCCAAAUGUUCCCUGUUCCCCCUCCCAUUAAGUUGCCAAUCCUCCCUUGUGCCAACCCCCUGCCUGGACCGCCCCGUUUGGAAUUCCUCCUAGCCCCAUUGGAUCAUGUGCCCCACUCUCCUCCCCUUGUGUUCCCCACUGGUUUAUGUAUUGUGUAUUAUGUAACCCCGCCUUCUGCUCCUCCCCUAAGUCUUCCCUAUUGGUUUAUUAUCUAUACACUCCCCUUGCUCCUCCCCCGAAUAUAAGUUGCUGUACCCCUGUAUCUUUUGUCUUUUGUCCCGGAAUCUUCAAGAGAAU
RNAcentral lists this long non-coding RNA (1128 nucleotides) under Parus major (Great Tit). RNAcentral's name for it is "lncRNA (ENSPMJG00000016288.1)". The record is from RNAcentral. Lineage: Eukaryota; Metazoa; Chordata; Aves; Passeriformes; Paridae.